RNAcentral lists this ribosomal RNA (440 nucleotides) under uncultured bacterium. Its description in RNAcentral is "partial 16S ribosomal RNA". It matches the Rfam family "Bacterial small subunit ribosomal RNA", at positions 338 to 795 of the family's 1533-position model. The record is from RNAcentral.
CCUACGGGAGGCAACAGUGGGGAAUAUUGCACAAUGGGGGAAACCCUGAUGCAGCGACGCCGCGUGAGUGAAGAAGUAUUUCGGUAUGUAAAGCUCUAUCAGCAGGGAAGAAAAUGAUGGUACCUGACUAAGAAGCCCCGGCUAACUACGUACCAGCAGCCGCGGUAAUACGUAGGGGGCAAGCGUUAUCCGGAUUUACUGGGUGUAAAGGGAGCGUAGACGGCGGAACAAGUCAGAAGUGAAAACCCGGGGCUCAACCCUGGGAGUGCUUUUGAAACUGUUUGGCUGGAGUGCAGGAGAGGUAAGCGGAAUUCCUAGUGUAGCGGUGAAAUGCGUAGAUAUUAGGAGGAACACCAGUGGCGAAGGCGGCUUACUGGACUGUAACUGACGUUGAGGCUCGAAAGCGUGGGGAGCAAACAGGAUUAGAUACCCUUGUAGUC